AUUGAACGCUGGCGGCAGGCCUAACACAUGCCAGUCGAGCGGCAGCGGAAAGUAGCUUGCUCCUUUGCCGGCGAGCGGCGGACGGGUGAGUAAUGUCUGGGGAUCUGCCUGAUGGAGGGGGAUAACUACUGGAAACGGUAGCUAAUACCGCAUAACGUCGCAAGACCAAAGCGGGGGACCUUCGGGCCUCGCGCCAUCAGAUGAACCCAGAUGGGAUUAGCUAGUAGGUGGGGUAAUGGCUCACCUAGGCGACGAUCCCUAGCUGGUCUGAGAGGAUGACCAGCCACACUGGAACUGAGACACGGUCCAGACUCCUACGGGAGGCAGCAGUGGGGAAUAUUGCACAAUGGGCGCAAGCCUGAUGCAGCCAUGCCGCGUGUAUGAAGAAGGCCUUCGGGUUGUAAAGUACUUUCAGCGAGGAGGAAGGCGGUAAGGUUAAUAACCUUACUGAUUGACGUUACUCGCAGAAGAAGCACCGGCUAACUCCGUG
Molecule: ribosomal RNA, 490 nt
Filed under: uncultured bacterium
Lineage: Bacteria
Description: partial 16S ribosomal RNA
Rfam family: Bacterial small subunit ribosomal RNA
Source: RNAcentral